RNAcentral lists this long non-coding RNA (555 nucleotides) under Pongo abelii (Sumatran orangutan). RNAcentral's name for it is "lincRNA". Lineage: Eukaryota; Metazoa; Chordata; Mammalia; Primates; Hominidae. The record is from RNAcentral.
AAAAGCCUGUGAUGGGGGAAGGGAGUGAAGGCAUGUGCCUCCUCAUGGAACACAGGGUCGGAGUCAGUUAGGAGGGAUAAGAGUACAAUAGAGGGUUGUGUGACACAGACAGGCUGCCAGCCCUCAGCAUGGACCCGGUGCAUGGAAUCCGUGAACUUAAAAGAGUCAAGUGACUACCUUUGGCAACCAAAAGAGACACUGCCUUUUAGAAGGCAUAUCAUCUGAAAUUGGCUGAAAGAGCUGUCCUACUUAGGAAGAAAAAUCUCUCCUUUGGAAAGAGCUGGAACUUUUAGUAAAACUGAACAGUGAGGUGGCGGAAGAUAAAUAUGCUGAGGCAUGUUUUCAAGGAGGGGAGAUGGAUUCCUUUUCCUCAGCCUGGCACAGAGCCGACCUGCAGUGUAGCACUGUGGUGACCUGGCGGGAUCUGCUCUCCAGUCACUCCUGCGGGCCCUUCUGGGGACAAGGAGACUUUUCUGUGUGGCCUGUUGAUUUGAUAGAGAUGAUGUCUUGCCACAUUGCCCAGGCUGGUCUCAAACUCCUGGCCUAAAGGGAUCU